CCUACGGGAGGCAGCAGUGAGGAAUAUUGGUCAAUGGGCGCGAGCCUGAACCAGCCAAGUCGCGUGAGGGAAGACGGUCCUAUGGAUUGUAAACCUCUUUUGUCGGGGAGCAAAAGACGCCACGCGUGGCGUUCCGAGAGUACCCGAAGAAAAAGCAUCGGCCAACUCCGUGCCAUCAGCCGCGGUACUACGGAGGAUGCGAGCGUUAUCCGGAUUUAUUGGGUUUAACGGGUGCGCAGGCGGAAGGUCAAGUCAGCGGUAAAAUUGAGUGGCUCAACCUCGUCGAGCCGUUGAAACUGGUUUUCUUGAGUGAGCGAGAAGUAUGCGGAAUGCGUGGUGGAGCGGUGAAAUG
This 352-nucleotide ribosomal RNA is filed under the name uncultured bacterium. Its description in RNAcentral is "partial 16S ribosomal RNA". It matches the Rfam family "Bacterial small subunit ribosomal RNA", at positions 338 to 688 of the family's 1533-position model. The record is from RNAcentral.